GUAGGUGGCGAGCGUUAUCCGGAAUUAUUGGGCGUAAAGGGUGCGCAGGCGGUUUUUUAAGUUUAAGGUGAAAGCGUGGNGCUUAACCCCNUAUAGCCUUAGAAACUGAGAGACUAGAGUACAGGAGAGGGCAAUGGAAUUCCAUGUGUAGCGGUAAAAUGCGUAGAUAUAUGGAGGAACACCAGUGGCGAAGGCGGUUGCCUGGCCUGUNACUGACGCUCAUGCACGANAGCGUGGGGAGCAAAUAGGAUUAGAUACCCUAGUAGUCCACGCCGUAAACGAUGANAACUAAGUGUUGGGGAAACUCANUGCUGCNGUUAACGCAAUANGUUCUCCGCCUGGGGAGUAUGCACGCNAGUGUGAAACUCANAGGAAGCC
RNAcentral lists this ribosomal RNA (378 nucleotides) under uncultured bacterium. RNAcentral describes it as "partial 16S ribosomal RNA". It matches the Rfam family "Bacterial small subunit ribosomal RNA", at positions 527 to 912 of the family's 1533-position model. The record is from RNAcentral.